RNAcentral lists this long non-coding RNA (369 nucleotides) under Elaeis guineensis (African oil palm). Its description in RNAcentral is "long non-coding RNA (EGUI_LNC025562)". The record is from RNAcentral. Lineage: Eukaryota; Viridiplantae; Streptophyta; Magnoliopsida; Arecales; Arecaceae.
CCAUCCUUGCCGUCACCUAUUACUAUGCCCACGCCCCCUCUUCUCUCUCUAGCCCACGCCCUCUCUCUUUAGGCAUCCUCUUUUUGGAUCUUAGAGAGAAGUGGGUGGCAUCCUUUCUUUGGUGUCAAGGGUUGGUGUCAAGAUUGAUUGAUUCCUUUCUCUUCCUCUCAAGUUGUUGAGAGAUAGUUACAACUACUUCUUAUUUAUUAUUGUUCUUGAUUAGUUGAGAGAUCAAGAAAAGCUCUUGGCUUCUUCAAGAAUCAAGAAAGAAAGAUCAAAAAGAUUCAUGAAUUGAUCCCUAUCUAGGCUUGGUUCAAGCCUAUUCAAGCUUUCGAUUCAAGCAAGCAGGAUCCAAGAGAAAAUAAUUGA